UUAUUGACAUUGCCUUCAGCCAGUGGAAGUAAAUUACUUAGUGAAUCUGAAACACAGAGGAAGGCCCACAGAAAAGCCCUGAUCCCUCCAACAUCUCAAAGACCAACUCACUGACCUCAUUAUACAUGUACAGUGAAGGAAAGAGAUCCAGAGCUGGGUCAAUGAGUCUGGAACCAGAGGCUCCAGUGUCCUGCAAAUCUCCAAACAUCUCUACCCAUCUCGUGUACUGUCACACAGCCCAGAGUGGAGCGCUCUCUGGUUGGUAUCCUCUGAGAUGCCUCACCGUGAUCCCUACUUCUUGUGCUCUUGCGUGCUUGCUCUAAAGGAAGCCAGCCGCCAUAUUGUGAGCCGCCCAAGGGGAGAGCCACAGGGCAGGGAACGGAGGGUGGCCUCCAGCAAAUAGUCGGCAAGAGAAUGAGGCCUCCGGUCAUGCAGCCUCCAAGGAACUGAAUCCAGCCAACCACCUCGUGUGUGAGCUUGGAAGCUCAUGCUCCCCUAGUUGAGCCUUUAGAAGAGAUGACAGCCUGGCCAUCACCUCCAGCACAGCUCAGUGGAGGCCUUGACCCAGAGGCAGCCAGAUAAGCCA
Molecule: long non-coding RNA, 586 nt
Organism: Lutra lutra (Eurasian river otter)
Lineage: Eukaryota; Metazoa; Chordata; Mammalia; Carnivora; Mustelidae
Exons: 3
Source: RefSeq, a predicted model, not a curated record